This 581-nucleotide long non-coding RNA is filed under the name Trifolium pratense (red clover). RNAcentral describes it as "long non-coding RNA (TPRA_LNC009915)". The record is from RNAcentral. Lineage: Eukaryota; Viridiplantae; Streptophyta; Magnoliopsida; Fabales; Fabaceae.
AAACCAUUAUUCACAACUUAUAGUACACACUUAUUCACAAAUGCAUUUCCAUUUUCGCCUUAAACUAUAGAACAAAUGUGAUCAAUUUUCUGAAAUAGAUGAGGAGUGGAAUCGCUGUGCGCAAGGCAAAGAUCACAGCCAGAAACUACGACACAGCCCCUGUGCGUGCAUGAGGUUCUCGUCUGUAGGCAUUUUAUUAUGGAAGCAUCGCCAGGCAAUAAAUGAUGCAUAUGGUGGUACACAAACAUGCCAAAGCCAAGCAGUCCAAUCUACCCGCUGUUGUGCCGGAAAAAAGAAUUCAUAGGCUUGGUUUGCAGUCAAAUUACCGUCCUUGGAAGAGUGCCAAACAAACCUGUCGUCAAGAGGUUGCUUAGGAACUNNNNNNNAUGUUAGAAUAUGCAUUCAACAUAAAGGAUGAUCUAAAGCUCAAUAUUAAUAAAUAAAAGCAUUCAUGAUUUUCGAUUAAAAUCCUCUUGAGGUGGAUCAUACUUCCGGAUAAGUAUGACUCACAGUAUAGUAACCUCUCAAUCGAAAUCUAAAAUCCUCUUGAUGUUUGGCACUAAAGUGCGGCCAUCCGAAGA